Molecule: ribosomal RNA, 419 nt
Filed under: bacterium
Lineage: Bacteria
Description: partial 16S ribosomal RNA
Rfam family: Bacterial small subunit ribosomal RNA
Source: RNAcentral
UGGGGGAUAUUGCACAAUGGGCGAAAGCCUGAUGCAGCGACGCCGCGUGGGGGAUGAAGGCCUUCGGGUUGUAAACUUCUUUUGCUCUAAACAAGGCGCACCAUGGGGUGUGUUGAGUGUAGGGGUUGAUUAGCGCCGGCUAACUACGUGCCAGCAGCCGCGGUAAUACGUAGGGCGCGAGCGUUGUCCGGAAUUAUUGGGCGUAAAGGGCUUGUAGGUGGCUGGUUGCGUCUGUCGUGAAAGCUCAUGGCUUAACUGUGGGUUUGCGGUGGGUACGGGCUGGCUUGAGUGCAGUAGGGGAGGCUGGAAUUCCUGGUGUAGCGGUGGAAUGCGCAGAUAUCAGGAGGAAUACCGGUGGCGAAGGCGGGUCUCUGGGCUGUUACUGACACUGAGGAGCGAAAGCAUGGGGAGCGAACAGG